ACGAACGCUGGCGGCGUGCUUCACCCAUGCAAGUCGAACGGAAAGGCCCUGCUUUUGUGGGGUGCUCGAGUGGCGAACGGGUGAGUAACACGUGAGUAACCUGCCCUUGACUUUUGGAUUACUUCAGGAAACUUGGGCUAAUACCGGAUAGGAGCUCCUGCUGCAUGGUGGGUGUUGGAAAGUUUCGGCGGUUGGGGAUGGACUCGCGGCUUAUCAGCUUGUUGGUGGGGUAGUGGCUUACCAAGGCUUUGACGGGUAGCCGGCCUGAGAGGGUGACCGGCCACAUUGGGACUGAGAUACGGCCCAGACUCCUACGGGAGGCAGCAGUGGGGAAUAUUGCACAAUGGGCGGAAGCCUGAUGAAGCAACGCCGCGUGCGGGAUGACGGCCUUCGGGUUGUAAACCGAUUUCGCCUGUGACGAAGCGUGAGUGACGGUAAUGGGUAAAGAAGCACCGGCUAACUACGUG
Molecule: ribosomal RNA, 467 nt
Filed under: uncultured bacterium
Lineage: Bacteria
Description: partial 16S ribosomal RNA
Rfam family: Bacterial small subunit ribosomal RNA
Source: RNAcentral